AGGAGGGGUAUUGAGACGAGGCUACUGUCAACCGAUCUAAAGCACUUUCUGAAGCAGUCACGUGGUAUUGAGGGGCAGCGAGGCUUGGUUUGUCAUCGGCGACGUCACUGGCCCAAAACAAUACAAGCCUCGAUACAAGCUUAACAAAAAGCUUCGGGGAUUACUCGACACACGCUCCGAAGCCUCGGCGCAAUACGUAACGUCACUAGUUAGCUGAUCGUUACUCGUAGUGCAGCUCAGUGAGUUUCAUCAGAGAGUCAGGACGGUUCUUCUUACACCUCCAUGGUCCGGACAGCCCGCGGGAUGAAGGCCUGUGUCACCGGGCUGCUGCACUGCCUGCUGGUGGGACACAUCUCGAGCUGGGAGGACGGCAGCGUGCUGCUGCGGGACGUCCAGGCGCUGACACUGUACCGGGGCCGCUACACCACGGCGAGGCGCUCCAGCCCCGUGCUGCAGCUGCAGUGUGUGGGGGGGUCUGCGGGGUGCCAGACCUUCAGCCCAGAUGUGGUCCAGUGUCAGAACAAAGGCUGGGAUGGGGUGGAUGUACAGUGGGAGUGUAAGACUGAUAUGGACAAUGCCUACCGAUUUGGUCGCAUUGAGGUGAGCUGUGAGGGCUACAGCCAACCUGCUGACGCCUUCAUCCUGAGGGGCUCCUGUGGGCUGGAGUACACUCUGGAGCUGACUGAAGGGGGUCGGAGGACAGCCCAGGGCAGCGGGGGCACGCAUGGUGGAUCUAAAGGAGGUCUGGGGGGCUUUGCCUCCAGUUUCUUCAGCGGUUUCUCUGGAAACAAGCAUCAGGGUCAACAGCAGAGCCAGCAGAGUGCGUCCCCCUCAGGCGGGGAGGACUCAGCAGGCCUGCUGGGGGUCGCUGUGCUUCUGCUCUUAGCCUUCGGAGUCUACAAGCUUUUCCUCAGUGGGAACAUGGCCCAGGGGGGGCAGGACGGAGGACAGGCUGGAGGACAGGCUGGAGGACAGGCUGGAGGACAGGCUGGAGGACAGGCUGGAGGACAGGCUGGAGGACAGGCUGGAGGACAGGCUGGAGGACAGGCUGGAGGACAGGCUGGAGGACAGGCUGGUUACCCAAGAGAUGAUCACCACAGCUCCAGCACAGGACCCCCGCCCCCGGGAUUCAAACCUGACUUCACAGGCAGCUCAGGCUAUGCUGGUGCCGACCCUGGCUACGGUUUCCACAGCGACUACACUCGCAGACAACAGUUCCCAGGAGGCCAGGCUCGCCCUACAACAGGUGGAGGCUUCUGGACUGGGAUGGGAACAGGAGGGCUGCUGGGAUAUAUGUUUGGCAGUCAGAGGGCCUUCUGGGUGUUUGUGUUUCAGAAGUCAGCCCCACAGCAACUCCUACUCAUCGUACACUGACAGACGUCCUGCUGCUGGAGGCUCCUCCACCUCUUCCUCUGGGACACGCACUGCUUCAGGGUUUGGAGGAACCAAGAGAAGAUAGAGGCCGUGGAGCUGGACGGACCAUGGAUGGCACUGAGAAUAAUACAAGAACAUAGAAACACAUGAUGAAGCAUCAGGAGAAGACCUUUCUUCAUGCACAGAGGAAUGUGUCCACCAACACAGUAACAGCCCCGUCUGAGUUACUUCUUCUCUGAAGGGUGCUUCGGUGUUGUUUGGAAAAGCUUUGCAUUACUUUGAUGUGUUUUCAGAAGAUGAUGUUGCCGUUGUUAAUUGGUUCAAUUCGAAUUUUGUAUGCAGAUGACAUAUUGCAGUGUGAAUCCAGUGUGAAUAAAUGUUAUUUGUUUAUUAAUUGUA
Trematomus bernacchii (emerald rockcod) is the source of this 1773-nucleotide RNA transcript. It is a transcript of the gene named store-operated calcium entry-associated regulatory factor, with no coding region annotated. The record is from RefSeq and is a predicted model, not a curated record. NCBI's taxonomy places the organism in Eukaryota, Metazoa, Chordata, Actinopteri, Perciformes, Nototheniidae. The transcript is spliced from 7 exons.